GAUGAAGAACGUAGCGAAAUGCGAUAAGUAGUGUGAAUUGCAGAAUUCAGUGAAUCAUCGAAUCUUUGAACGCACAUUGCGCCCUUUGGUAUUCCUUAGGGCAUGCCUGUUCGAGCGUCAUUUAAACCUUCAAGCUCAGCUUGGUGUUGGGUGACUGUCCGCUUCACCGCGGACUCGCCUCAAAAUUAUUGGCGGCCGGUACAUUGGCUUCGAGCGCAGCAGAAACGCGAACUCGGGCCCGUCGUAUUGGCUCCCAGAAGCUAUCUUCACAAUUUUGACCUCGGAUCAGGCAGGGAUACCCGCUGAACUUAAGCAUAUCAAUAAGCGGAGGA
Molecule: unclassified non-coding RNA, 332 nt
Filed under: soil metagenome
Description: partial contains 5.8S ribosomal RNA, internal transcribed spacer 2, and large subunit ribosomal RNA
Rfam family: 5.8S ribosomal RNA (bases 1-120)
Source: RNAcentral